ACCUCCCAGAUUGGAGGCCGCUCCCCGUUUAACAGCAGCUAGCUGAUCGCCCCGGGAACGAGCUCGGGACUGCGGGGUCCCCCCGCGCUCCUCCCUCAGUGACAGCAGGAAGCUUAUCCUGUAUUGGCCCGGUAGGGCGGCGAAUCCACGCGCCCCGCCCCUCCCCGCCCCACGCCGCGCCUCCCCUCCAGUCCAGCCCCCAGAACCCCCUCACCUCGGCGUGGCCUUCGAACGCUCCCUCGAGGCCUCCCUCGGAGCCCGGCGAUCCCGCCGCUUCGCUCUCCGACCCCCCCCCCCCACGGGGGGGUUGUCCCUUCUUCGGGUCCCUGCCCCCGGCUAAGGGGGAAGCUCACUGAAGUCAACGAACGGCCGGCCCUACAGGGCCCAAGGGCCCGGAGCAUUGAAGAGUACUUUCAGAUCCAUUAUUUCAUUUGGCCCUUACAGUUCUCCUGUGAGUCACUGCUUUCUUGACAGAGAGGAAAACAAGACUUGGAGAGAAGAGGUAAGUGACUUGCCUAAAGGCCCAUUGGGAGUUAGCAAGAAAGCCAAGACUACAGCCCAUAUCUCCCAACUCCAAAGCCCAUCAUCUUCUUCCUGUACCCCUCUAUAAAGUCCAUUCUAGCUAAGAAGUUGCAGUCUGUAUCCAUAAAUAUCCAGGGAUAUCCAUAAAGGGAUGCCACACUUCCUGUUCCUUAGUCCAGACAAGCCAGUGAAUGAGUCAGCAUCAAAUGAGAGCCUUAGGAGAUUCAUACCUCCUUCCUACAACUUUCUACUCCAAAUUUAUACCCAUAUGACUCCAUGUAGCUAUUAUUCAUGGUGAAUUUUGGUUCUCUCAGACCCCUCAGUCCUUUUCUGAAGAUUAAAGCAGUGUAGUUCCCUAGCUUCUCUGGUUAUUUCCCUGCCAAAGAGUAUCAUCCUAUAAGUGUGUCUCUUCAACACCCUCACAAAAAGUUGAUGGGAAUGAGGAGAGGAAAAAGAAAUUUAAUUAGAUACAGGAGAAAUGACAAAAAUCAGGAAUAAUUUGUAAGAUUAGUGAACUCUUGAGUUUUUGUCCUUGAGUCUCAAGGGGGAAGAACUCAAAGGAAUUGAUCUCCAAGAGCCUUAAGCCACUCCCAGUUGGCUCAAUUCACUUUCCCUCUAUCCUCUUCUCUAGGAGCAGGUAUGAAUUCUUUCCUCACCCCGCUUCUUCUCCACCUCCCCACCCCUCAGAUAGACAUACCACUUCCUGUAUAGCCUGACUGAAGCCACUGUCAACUUCCUCCCCUAGCAGAGGAAGUGGGGAGCUGAACCAGGUGCAGCGAGAAGACACCAGGACCAUGGUAAGCCCUUCUUGGGAAGCCUGGCAUCUUUAGCAUCCCUCCUGAGACCUCACAGGACCUCCUGCCUCAUUCCUUAAGUUGAUCCAUAAGAUGACAUGACUAUACUGCCCAGUCCUCAGGCUCCAGCUUUCAUCCACCUUCCCACUAACCUC
Molecule: long non-coding RNA, 1471 nt
Filed under: Monodelphis domestica (gray short-tailed opossum)
Lineage: Eukaryota; Metazoa; Chordata; Mammalia; Didelphimorphia; Didelphidae
Description: lncRNA (ENSMODG00000039668.1)
Source: RNAcentral